CUCCUGACCUGCCUCUGUCCCCCCGCAGCUGCCCUACCUGAUUGACGGGGCUCACAGGGUCACCCAGAGCAAUGCCAUCCUUCGCUACCUUGCCCGCAAGCACAACCUCUGCGGGGAGACGGAAGAGGAGAAGAUCCGCGUGGACAUGUUGGAGAACGAGGUGAUGGACCUCCGGAUGUUCCACAUCAGGACCUGCUACAGCCCUGACUUUGUGAGUC
Molecule: long non-coding RNA, 218 nt
Organism: Myotis davidii
Lineage: Eukaryota; Metazoa; Chordata; Mammalia; Chiroptera; Vespertilionidae
Exons: 2
Source: RefSeq, a predicted model, not a curated record